CUGAGCUGAUCGACUGCAUCCUCCAAUCUUUUCACGGGAACAAACGCCAAAGCAGUGACCAUUCGAGCCUUCAAUGAAAACUCUUCAUCGUUCUGAUAUUCCGGCAUCAACCCCAGCGCCUGUACAUGUUUCCUCAUAUUAUUGGCAAGAUGGAAGAAACAUCCAGCUAUCGCGGUUCCAGGAAAACAUUCCCUGAUCGCUGAAAUUGCGGCGAGUUCAAAAUCACAGUGAACGGCAGUUGCGUGUUCACUUGCAACGCCCGCUACGUUUACCCCUGGUAUUGUGGAUGAUUUGGGCACGUAGCGGGUUUCGGGUAGUCGACAGUCGUAGACUCGGGUUGCGUAGACACAGUACAGUACAAGGAUAUGACAAUGUUUAUUUAUAAUUGUUAUGUAUUAACAAGAGCAGUAAUUGUAUUUCACUCCUCCGCUCGAUCCUCUCUCCUCGACUCGUGGACACCGCUAUCGUGGACGCAGCCGGAUCUGCGCUGUCAACCGUCAAACGGAGGUUGUAGGUUUACGGCAGUUGCUAGAAAUCUGGUGAAUUAGUGUGAUGAAGUUAUUUACAAAUGAGAUGAGAUUAUUUACAAUGAAUGAUGUGUUGCCUGGGAGCUAUGGUUAUGUUUUCCUCGUGCAGGAAGGGAGGUCUACGUGAAGCGUAAACGUUCUGGUCGGGGUUUGAAUAAGGGAGAGUUCUCAGGGUUACCGAGGUACUGGUAGAAUGGUAAUUUCAACGACGGUGAUAAACUCGACCAUACGUUGGGCUAACAGGAAUGGAUUACGGGAUGGGAUUGCGGAAGGACUACAACGACGGUGAUAGACUCGACCAUACGUUGAAGCAAUUAGAUGGAAUCGGGUUGUUAUUUGCGGGGUUGAUACAGCGACGGUGAUAUACUCGACCAUACGCUGAAUCGGAAUCUGGAAGGGUGGUAGAAAGAACAAUGUUGCAGGAUCUGGGAUCUGAUCUCCAUUUGGCUGUGCUCUUGUUUAUAUACACCUUACCGUUGUAGUGGGGUAAGGAUAGUGGCAGGGAUAUCUGCGCAGUCAAAUGUUUAUAUGGAGUGCUCCUGCCCUCUCUUGCCCAAAAUUCGCAUAAUUUUUAAAAGAUUUUAUACGAAAUCUGAAUUAUAAAAUUACUGAAUUUUUUUAAUCCUUACACACUUUACAAAAAGAUAGUGUUAUCAGAAAUUGUAGAUCACAAAAUUCGACACAACUUUGUUAUACAUUACUUUUUUGUG
This is a long non-coding RNA of Photinus pyralis (common eastern firefly), 1237 nucleotides long. RefSeq lists it as uncharacterized. The transcript has 5 exons. NCBI's taxonomy places the organism in Eukaryota, Metazoa, Arthropoda, Insecta, Coleoptera, Lampyridae. The record is from RefSeq and is a predicted model, not a curated record.